GGAGAGAUGGCUCAGUGGUUAAGGGCACUCGACUGCUCCUAGAGGACCUGGGUUCAAAUCCCAGCAUCCACA
RNAcentral lists this transfer RNA (72 nucleotides) under Mus musculus (house mouse). RNAcentral's name for it is "tRNA-Ser". The record is from RNAcentral. Lineage: Eukaryota; Metazoa; Chordata; Mammalia; Rodentia; Muridae.